RNAcentral lists this ribosomal RNA (381 nucleotides) under uncultured Mycobacterium sp. RNAcentral's name for it is "bacterial SSU rRNA". It matches the Rfam family "Bacterial small subunit ribosomal RNA", at positions 524 to 902 of the family's 1533-position model. The record is from RNAcentral. Lineage: Bacteria; Bacillati; Actinomycetota; Actinomycetes; Mycobacteriales; Mycobacteriaceae.
UACGUAGGGUGCGAGCGUUGUCCGGAAUUACUGGGCGUAAAGAGCUCGUAGGUGGUUUGUCGCGUUGUUCGUGAAAUCUCACGGCUUAACUGUGAGCGUGCGGGCGAUACGGGCAGACUAGAGUACUGCAGGGGAGACUGGAAUUCCUGGUGUAGCGGUGGAAUGCGCAGAUAUCAGGAGGAACACCGGUGGCGAAGGCGGGUCUCUGGGCAGUAACUGACGCUGAGGAGCGAAAGCGUGGGGAGCGAACAGGAUUAGAUACCCUGGUAGUCCACGCCGUAAACGGUGGGUACUAGGUGUGGGUUUCCUUCCUUGGGAUCCGUGCCGUAGCUAACGCAUUAAGUACCCCGCCUGGGGAGUACGGCCGCAAGGCUAAAACUC